GAAGAAAUGAACUUUGUCAGGAAGCACGCACUAGAGCAAGCCAAAACUCUUGGCGUUGAGGUUAGGGAAGCUGCAACUAGAAUAUUCUCCAACGCCUCAGGCUCGUACUCCUCCAAUGUAAACCUUGCUGUUGAAAAUUCUUCAUGGAAUGAUGAGAAGCAGCUUCAAGACAUGUACUUAAGCCGCAAGUCCUUUGCAUUUGACUGUGAUGCUCCUGGAACCGGUAUGAUGGAAAAGAGACAAGUAUUUGAGAUGGCUCUAAGUACAGCCGAGGCCACAUUCCAAAACCUUGACUCUUCAGAAAUCUCCCUUACUGAUGUCAGUCACUACUUCGACUCUGACCCUACCAAUCUGGUACAGAACCUGAGGAAGGAUGGAAAGAAGCCGAAUGCAUACAUUGCAGACACGACCA
This 412-nucleotide long non-coding RNA is filed under the name Daucus carota (carrot). RNAcentral describes it as "long non-coding RNA (DCAR_LNC003116)". Lineage: Eukaryota; Viridiplantae; Streptophyta; Magnoliopsida; Apiales; Apiaceae. The record is from RNAcentral.